UGAGCAACCUGCCCUUAGCUCUGGUAUAACCCCGGGAAACCGGGGCUAAUACCGGAUACGAGUCCGAGCGGCACUCCACACCGGACUGGAAAGUUUUUCGGCUAAGGAUGGGCUCGCGGCCUAUCAGCCUUGUUGGUGGGUAACGGCCUACCAAGGCGACGACGGGUAGCUGGUCUGAGAGGACGACCAGCCACACUGGAACUGAGACACGGCCCAGACUCCUACGGGAGGCAGC
Molecule: ribosomal RNA, 235 nt
Filed under: uncultured bacterium
Lineage: Bacteria
Description: partial 16S ribosomal RNA
Rfam family: Bacterial small subunit ribosomal RNA
Source: RNAcentral